AAAUGAAUAGACGGGGGCCCGCACAAGCGGCGGAGCAUGUUGCUUAAUUCGAGGCAACGCGAAGAACCUUACCUGGGCUUGACAUGUAGCGAAAAGCCGCAGAGAUGCGGUGUCCUUCGGGGCGCUACACAGGUGGUGCAUGGUUGUCGUCAGCUCGUGUCGUGAGAUGUUGGGUUAAGUCCCGCAACGAGCGCAACCCUCGUCCUAUGUUGCCAGCACGUAAUGGUGGGGACUCGUAGGAGACUGCCGGGGUCAACUCGGAGGAAGGUGGGGAUGAGGUCAAAUCAUCAUGCCCCUUAUGUCCAGGGCUGCAAACAUGCUACAAUGGCCGGUACAAAGGGCUGCAAAACCGCGAGGUUAAGCGAAUCCCAUAAAGCCGGUCUCAGUUCGGAUUGAAGUCUGCAACUCGACUUCAUGAAGCUGGAGUCGCUAGUAAUCCCGGAUCAGCAACGCCGGGGUGAAUACGUUCCCGGGCCUUGUACACACCGCCCGU
This 493-nucleotide ribosomal RNA is filed under the name uncultured bacterium. RNAcentral describes it as "bacterial SSU rRNA". It matches the Rfam family "Bacterial small subunit ribosomal RNA", at positions 903 to 1397 of the family's 1533-position model. The record is from RNAcentral.